Molecule: ribosomal RNA, 465 nt
Filed under: uncultured Klebsiella sp.
Lineage: Bacteria; Pseudomonadati; Pseudomonadota; Gammaproteobacteria; Enterobacterales; Enterobacteriaceae
Description: bacterial SSU rRNA
Rfam family: Bacterial small subunit ribosomal RNA
Source: RNAcentral
CCUACGGGAGGCAGCAGUGGGGAAUAUUGCACAAUGGGCGCAAGCCUGAUGCAGCCAUGCCGCGUGUGUGAAGAAGGCCUUCGGGUUGUAAAGCACUUUCAGCGGGGAGGAAGGCGGUGAGGUUAAUAACCUCAUCGAUUGACGUUACCCGCAGAAGAAGCACCGGCUAACUCCGUGCCAGCAGCCGCGGUAAUACGGAGGGUGCAAGCGUUAAUCGGAAUUACUGGGCGUAAAGCGCACGCAGGCGGUCUGUCAAGUCGGAUGUGAAAGCCCCGGGCUCAACCUGGGAACUGCAUUCGAAACUGGCAGGCUAGAGUCUUGUAGAGGGGGGUAGAAUUCCAGGUGUAGCGGUGAAAUGCGUAGAGAUCUGGAGGAAUACCGGUGGCGAAGGCGGCCCCCUGGACAAAGACUGACGCUCAGGUGCGAAAGCGUGGGGAGCAAACAGGAUUAGAUACCCUUGUAGUC